GACGAACGCUGGCGGCGUGCUUAACACAUGCAAGUCGAAUGGAAAGGCCCUGCUUUUGUGGGGUGCUCGAGUGGCGAACGGGUGAGUAACACGUGAGUAACCUGCCCUUGACUUUGGGAUAACUUCAGGAAACUGGGGCUAAUACCGGAUAGGAGCUCCUGCUGCAUGGUGGGGGUUGGAAAGUUUCGGCGGUUGGGGAUGGACUCGCGGCUUAUCAGCUUGUUGGUGGGGUAGUGGCUUACCAAGGCUUUGACGGGUAGCCGGCCUGAGAGGGUGACCGGCCACAUUGGGACUCGGAUACGGCCCAGACUCCUACGGGAGGCAGCAGUGGGGAAUAUUGCACAAUGGGCGGAAGCCUGAUGCAGCAACGCCGCGUGCGGGAUGACGGCCUUCGGGUUGUAAACCGCUUUCGCCUGUGACGAAGCGUGAGGGACGGUACUGGGGAAAGAAGCACCGGCUAACUACGU
RNAcentral lists this ribosomal RNA (467 nucleotides) under uncultured bacterium. RNAcentral describes it as "partial 16S ribosomal RNA". It matches the Rfam family "Bacterial small subunit ribosomal RNA", at positions 28 to 506 of the family's 1533-position model. The record is from RNAcentral.